ACAAACGGACGAGGACGAGGACAAGU
RNAcentral lists this non-coding RNA (26 nucleotides) under Cricetulus griseus (Chinese hamster). Lineage: Eukaryota; Metazoa; Chordata; Mammalia; Rodentia; Cricetidae. The record is from RNAcentral.